This 373-nucleotide ribosomal RNA is filed under the name uncultured organism. Its description in RNAcentral is "bacterial SSU rRNA". It matches the Rfam family "Bacterial small subunit ribosomal RNA", at positions 526 to 896 of the family's 1533-position model. The record is from RNAcentral.
CAGAGGGUGCGAACGUUGCUCGGAAUUACUGGGCGUAAAGCGCGUGUAGGCGGGUCGGCAAGUCAGGCGUGAAAUCCCCAGGCUCAACCUGGGAACUGCGCUUGAAACUGCCGGUCUUGAGUAUCGGAGAGGGUGGCGGAAUUCCUGGUGUAGAGGUGAAAUUCGUAGAUAUCAGGAGGAACACCGGUGGCGAAGGCGGCCACCUGGACGAUUACUGACGCUGAGACGCGAAAGCGUGGGGAGCAAACAGGAUUAGAUACCCUGGUAGUCCACGCCGUAAACGAUGGGUGCUAGGUGUCUCGGGUAUUGACCCCUGAGGUGCCGUAGCUAACGCGUUAAGCACCCCCGCCUGGGAAGUACGGCCGCAAGGCUA